CUUCCAAAACGGAAGUCUUUAACUUCGCCUCCGCGUCCAAGGUUCCUCAAAAACUUUGCACAAACAGUCGGUCGCAACUGGAGAUUGGACAAACAUCGAAGAGGGCAAGAAAUAUAUGACAGCAUGGCAUCCAUUUCGACUGAGCAGAAUACACAGCCCACUCCUCAGCUUCUGUCAGUCGGAGAAAAGGAUAAGAAACGGCUGCUGGAGGUGUAUGUGAAGCGAAGUCUCAGCCUUAACGAUGGAUCACAAUGUCCUCUGAGACAGGAGCAAAGAACACGCAAAUGGGUUGCCAUCACAGAGCCGAAGACAAGACAUCGCAAACAUUCCAGCGAUACAUCUCUGAACUUGACUUCUCAAGCCUCCAUCUCAGAUGAGGACAUUAGAUACGAGCCCUUCUCUGAACCACAACUGGAUAAAAAGGAGAUGUCGUCUGAAAAGAAAUCCAAAAAGAGGAGAGUUAAAGGGAGCCUGCGCCGCAACGAUAGUUCUAAUGCAUCGCAAAAGUCCAAUAGCAAACCCAAGAAGUGGUUUCAACGUUUGGAUAAGGGCAAGGAGGAGGGUGGGCAAAGCACUGAUGCUUUACCUCCCCAAACAAGUACAGUUAUUCCUGGAGAUAUGCAUUCAAAUGUGCUAGAAAAUCUGGAGACUUGUACAGUGGAAAGGAAGGACAAAGAAGGCAAGAAGACAAAGAAGCCCACUGUAUGGAAGAAUUUCUUGAGCUGGUUUUCCAAAGGAAACAGUGAAAAAGAACAAGAUCAUCAGAGAACCAAAGAACAGUUACCUCUUUCCCAACCCUCAACACCCCAAAUCUCUUGUUUGCCUUUAGCUGACACCCUAUCAAAAAGUGAAAUCAACCUGCGCCGUUCAAAGUCUUCGAAAAAGAAAUCGUUGCACAGGAGAUCAUUAAAAUGCAGGCAAAGUGGAGAUAUGUCCACUGAAAAAUCUGUUGAGAUAGUGGAACCCACUAACUCGUACUAUGAGAAAAUGUCAGAGGAACUGGAGAAAAUUGUGCAUGAAGUGAAAGACAGUCCAGCAGAUGACAAUGCCACUUACCAAAUAACAGACCAGAAUGGUGUAAAUGUCUCAAAAGAAGAGGUUAUAAAGAGAAUCAUAGAACUUAUAAAACAGGAAGGAGACUUAAUACAUAAAAAGGUAAGUGUGUCUCAUUCCUUCUGACAUCAUUAAAUAUUACUGAGACCUUUUAUUAGUAUUGCAGAUGUUUGGCUCCGUUUCAAACAUGUAUGAAAUGUAUGAAAACCACCCAAGUAUUGCUGUUCCUUGCAAUGUGUUAUUUAAAGGAGAUCCACCAAGUUCACUAAUGUUUUCUGAUCUCCCCUCCUCCCCCAGCUGAAAAAGAACAGCACCGUGAGCGAUUAUCUGGAUGGAUUCACCUAUGGAUUCUUCCAGCAAAUGGCUGAUCAAUAUGUGCAGUCAGAAGUUCCCAAUAAGAAAACCCAGCUGCCUGUCGUGGCACCAGAGCUGGUGAAGUUCGCCUUCACUCUGGACUUCACAGCCAGAGUGGCUAAUCUACACCGCCAAGCCACAGGCCAAAUCAUGGGCUUCGGGAACCAGUAUCUCCAAGAUCGCUUCACUCACAUGAGCGAGAGCCAUCCGCAUCUCUCUGACAUUAAAGCAGAGGAUCGGGAAAACACAGAACUCUGAGCAAGAAUUCAUAAGCUUGUAGAAGCGUGAGCUUCUAGCUGACAGUUUUACUGCUGGAUUUAUUUGAAAUGUAGCAACACAAAAGGAGAAAUAACGAAGGCUUUUAAAAUAGGAUUUGUUUUUUUUUCAUUUUGCACAAUAGCACACACAAGAAACACACACCAGAAUGAACAGGGUUGG
This 1845-nucleotide long non-coding RNA is filed under the name Sinocyclocheilus anshuiensis. RNAcentral's name for it is "lncRNA (ENSSANG00000036534.1)". The record is from RNAcentral. Lineage: Eukaryota; Metazoa; Chordata; Actinopteri; Cypriniformes; Cyprinidae.